CAUGGAAGUUGGUCCGGGUACA
This 22-nucleotide microRNA is filed under the name Caenorhabditis briggsae. RNAcentral's name for it is "Cbr-Mir-10-P2_3p* (star (passenger))". Lineage: Eukaryota; Metazoa; Nematoda; Chromadorea; Rhabditida; Rhabditidae. The record is from RNAcentral.